Long non-coding RNA from Bombina bombina (fire-bellied toad), 472 nucleotides. RefSeq lists it as uncharacterized. The record is from RefSeq and is a predicted model, not a curated record. Lineage: Eukaryota; Metazoa; Chordata; Amphibia; Anura; Bombinatoridae. The transcript is spliced from 7 exons.
AGAAGUUUUAAAUAGAACUGUUCUUCAAACCCUUGGAAUAGAGGAAGAGGUCUCAAGCUUCCCAAGACGUUUUAAAUAGAACUGUUAAAAAAUCCUCAGAAUGGAGGAAGAGGUCUCAAGCUUCCCAAGAAUUUUUAAAUAGAACUGUUUUCAAAUCCUCGGAAUGGAGAAAGAGGUCUCAAGCUUCCCAAUAAGCUUUAAAUAGAACUGUUCUUCAAACCCUUGAAAUGGAGGAAGAGGUCUUGAGCUUCCCGAGACGUUUUAAAUAGAACUGUUCCUCAAACCCUUGGAAUGGAGGAAGAGCAGGUUCUUUUUGGCUGAGGGGGCAGCUGCUUAUCCUGAUGACCGACAGAUGCUGAUACCAGAUCCCUGCUUAUUCUAAGGGUGAGUUCCUGCCUGCUGGAGGAAGCAUCAGACAACACCCCAGAAGAUCUUUCUGCUCCAUAUUGUUUCAAUAAAACUUUAUUCAUAA